This 914-nucleotide ribosomal RNA is filed under the name Pleurotus sapidus. RNAcentral's name for it is "eukaryotic LSU rRNA". The stretch from base 238 to 391 matches the Rfam family "5.8S ribosomal RNA". Lineage: Eukaryota; Fungi; Basidiomycota; Agaricomycetes; Agaricales; Pleurotaceae. The record is from RNAcentral.
UGGGCUUUGAUUCCUAUGGAGUUGUUGCUGGCCUCUAGGGGCAUGUGCACGCUUCACUAGUCUUUCAACCACCUGUGAACUUUUGAUAGAUCUGUGAAGUCGUCUUUCAAGUCGUCAGACUUGGUUUGCUGGGAUUUAAACGUCUCGGUGUGACAACGCAGUCUAUUUACUUAACACACCCCAAAUGUAUGUCUACGAAUGUCAUUUAAUGGGCCUUGUGCCUAUAAACCAUAAUACAACUUUCAACAACGGAUCUCUUGGCUCUCGCAUCGAUGAAGAACGCAGCGAAAUGCGAUAAGUAAUGUGAAUUGCAGAAUUCAGUGAAUCAUCGAAUCUUUGAACGCACCUUGCGCCCCUUGGUAUUCCGAGGGGCAUGCCUGUUUGAGUGUCAUUAAAUUCUCAAACUCACUUUGGUUUUUUCCAAUUGUGAUGUUUGGAUUGUUGGGGGCUGCUGGCCUUGACAGGUCGGCUCCUCUUAAAUGCAUUAGCAGGACUUCUCAUUGCCUCUGCGCAUGAUGUGAUAAUUAUCACUCAUCAAUAGCACGCAUGAAUAGAGUCCAGCUCUCUAAUCGUCCGCAAGGACAAUUUGACAAUUUGACCUCAAAUCAGGUAGGACUACCCGCUGAACUUAAGCAUAUCAAUAAGCGGAGGAAGGAUCAUUAAUGAAUUCCUAUGGAGUUGUUGCUGGCCUCUAGGGGCAUGUGCACCUUCAUAGUCUUUCACCGGGAAUUUUUUAUAAAAAUUUAAAAAGUCCUUUCAAGUCGUAGAGUGGGUGUGGGGAGGAUUAAACGGUGCCGGGGGGACACUAUCUUAUCCCAAGAGCAGCUUGAAAGUGAGCUUAGGGGGGUGUGGGAAAAACAGAAUACGGGUAUAUGGGCUCGCUGAUAGAAAACGGACAUGAACAAUAGAUGUGA